This 460-nucleotide ribosomal RNA is filed under the name uncultured bacterium. Its description in RNAcentral is "partial 16S ribosomal RNA". It matches the Rfam family "Bacterial small subunit ribosomal RNA", at positions 338 to 795 of the family's 1533-position model. The record is from RNAcentral.
CCUACGGGUGGCAGCAGUGAGGAAUAUUGGUCAAUGGACGAGAGUCUGAACCAGCCAAGUAGCGUGAAGGAUGACUGCCCUAUGGGUUGUAAACUUCUUUUAUAUGGGAAUAAAACGUUCCACGUGUGGGAUUUUGUACGUACCAUAUGAAUAAGGAACGGCUAACUCCGUGCCAGCAGCCGCGGUAAUACGGAGGAUCCGAGCGUUAUCCGGAUUUAUUGGGUUUAAAGGGAGCGUAGGUGGAUUGUUAAGUCAGUUGUGAAAGUUUGCGGCUCAAACGUAAAAUUGCAGUUGAAACUGGCAGUCUUGAGUACAGUAGAGGUGGGCGGAAUUCGUGGUGUAGCGGUGAAAUGCUUAGAUAUCACGAAGAACUCCGAUUGCGAAGGCAGUUCACUGGACUGCAACUGACACUGAGGCUCGAAAGUGUGGGUAUCAAACAGGAUUAGAUACCCGAGUAGUC